AUGGGAAAGCCGGCGAGUGUGUGGCGGGGUACGCACAGUGGACUCGGUGUCUUCAAACACUUCUCUCGCCUCCUCGUAGACGCAGACCUCCUCCAAGCACUCCUUUUCCAAAUGCCCCUCGAAGAGCUCUUCCAAGAGGUAGGAGCCGGCUCGCCUCCACCUGGCCAGAAGCUCGUGCGCGUCCGACGCGGGAAGAAAGACUGCAGGACGACACAGGAGUGCAGGCAUCUCAGCCCUCCGCGGGCGGCCAGGUUCUUGGCAGUCUUCUUUCCCUGUGUGUUGGUGGUUUCCUUUUGGUUGAAACAGGAGCCUGAUUUGAGAAAGACCACGUCUCUGCCAUCGAGGCAAACGGGACACGAGAUUACUGCCGGUUCCAGACCCCGGGCUGACAGCAGUGACUGAACCUUGGGAGGAGGUUCUCUGCCAGCGGCCCUGUCCCCUCAGGGACUGUGUCUCUUUUCUCCGAGCAGUGCCAAAGGUGGCCUUGGUUGGGCGAGCGUCUCUUCCUGGGUCCACGCGGGCCGUGAGGAGGGUAUGAUCAUUUUAAUCUAACCGACAGAUCAGAACACCACUGUUUCAACACACGCGACUGUCACAAGGAACCAAGUGUGUGUUCUGAUUUCUGUGCUAAAGCGGUGCAGGUGGGUGUAUUUUGAACUCCCAGCAGCGUGACUUUGGCCACCAGUUGCAGGGAGGCAUCGUGGCCACAUGAGCGGCGGGGGUCCAGGGUCCCCCGUCUGCGGUCGCUGGUUUGGGUUCAGCGGUAUAGGAAGGUUGGGGGGGAAGGGGCCCUGAGCAGGGGCUGUGGGGGGGCGGGGGACGCGGGCGGGGACUC
This 835-nucleotide long non-coding RNA is filed under the name Ovis aries (sheep). RNAcentral describes it as "lncRNA (ENSOARG00000026343.1)". Lineage: Eukaryota; Metazoa; Chordata; Mammalia; Artiodactyla; Bovidae. The record is from RNAcentral.